CUUCCCCCAGCUACCAGCUCAAAACUGGUAUAUUCUCUAGAUUUUCCCAUAUUUAAUUUAAUUUCCAUUUCUUCUAUGUAUUUCCAUUUCUGACUCUGGUUAUUUGGCACAGUCUAUGCAUUGCAUUAAUUACCCCUCCCCCAAUGGCAAAACUAUAAACACAGAAGAAAAACUUAUUCUGCUAACACUGAGAACUUCUUAUGAUGACGACAUGUACUGACUUCCGGUUUAAACUGAUGGAGAGUGUAUGUGUAUUAACUCAGGAUUCAAGAAAAUAUAUUCUUGAAUAUCAGAAUACCUUCCAGUUUACAUGACUAUUAUCUGAACAGUGAGACUGGGGAAUGUUUGUCCAUUCACAUACAAAAUCUGAAAGUAGUCCAUUAGUUUUGGUUGAUGGCAGAUCUGAAGAAAAGUGAUGCCAUAUCUAGCAGGGGCCCCUCCAAUAAGAAAAGCCAUCAAUAUAUUUAAUUUGGAUAGGUUGACUGGUCAGAGAUGGUGGAAAUUGCUUCCUGUUGGAUAGUAAAGUUACAAUUUGCCAAACUUAGAAUAGGUCCCUUAGAUAAAAGCAACUUGAUUUAUUCAGCAAUUGAAUCAAAAGUACACCAAGAAUGCAGGUUUGGAACUAUGAGAGCAAAUUUAAUUAUAUACUGUAAAUGCAUUUAAUUUAAAUAAUAUUUUGUUCUAAUAAAAACAUUUUUUUAAUUAAGCUUAGCCAUAUAAUAUGAAUAAAUAUAAAUGAUAUCACAGUCAGUUCAGACACCAUUCUCAGACUAUUCUGUUCUUAUUUAAGCCUCUACUUUUUGUUAUUUUAGAAGGCGUGGAAAAUACUGAAUUUUACCUUUAAUACAGCGUAUUUAAUUAAUUGCAGAAAUUAGCGUCACGGUGUAUAAAUAGACUGGUGAGGGCAGUGAAAGAAAGGGUCUUGAAUAUAUAGUGGUUUGAACAAAUCUUUGCUGUAUUACUCAGUUUCACUAGGUGGUGCUGUAAAACAGCUUUUAUUUUCAUGACAUCCAACAUAUAAAUUGAAUGUCUGAACGUAUUAAGGGAAUGUAACAUUACCCUUUCCAUCCACUUUUUGGUUCAGUUCCAUUCAUGCACUAUGGAAAUCCAAAGCAUCAGAGUUCUGCUGGUUCUUUCACAUUGGUCUGUUUGCUGGGCCAAUGUUAUCCAGUUACCUACGAUGGAGGAAAUCUCAGGGGCUAAUGUUACUCUCCCAUGUAACCAUACCGCCAUCACUUCUGGUGAUUAUAUUGACUGGUAUAAAAAUACUCCUGAUAAAGGACUUCAGUUAUUAAUUGGUGGAUUUAAGGAUACAGCCUCUGGCUUGCGCACAUUGACCUUCAGCAAAGACAGAAAGUCCAGUGAACUCCAUAUACAGAACAUCAUGCCGGAGGAGAGUGGAGUUUAUCUAUGUGUUCUGCGGGACACAGCAGUGCAGCUGAAUAUGCUCUCUGUACAAUAAGCAAAUGCAGAGGGUGCGGAGAAAAACAUACAGUAUUACUUACACACACAUGCAUAUACUGUGCAUAGUAACUUUCAAAGACAAAUAUGUUAGUUACUAAGUAUAAGUUAGUUACCUAGUGUAAGAGAAUAUAUUCCUGUUAUAUUGCUUCAAUCCCUUAC
Xenopus laevis (African clawed frog) is the source of this 1623-nucleotide non-coding RNA. The record is from the annotation of a RefSeq genome assembly. Lineage: Eukaryota; Metazoa; Chordata; Amphibia; Anura; Pipidae.